UUCCAGCUCCAAUAGUAUACAUUAAAGUUGUUGCAGUUAAAACGCUCGUAGUCGGAAGGUGGGGGGCUGGGCGCGGAGCAGGGAGACCUGGAUCUGCGACUGGCCUCUUUCGGCAGGUGCAUAAAACACCCGCCGCGUUACUGUGAGGAAAUUAGAGUGUUCAAAGCAGGCGUACGCUUGGAUAGGUUAGCAUGGAAUAACGGAGAGGUCCGUUGGUUGGAGCUUGGGUUGAUAGGGACAGUUGGGGGCA
This 250-nucleotide ribosomal RNA is filed under the name uncultured archaeon. RNAcentral's name for it is "partial 16S ribosomal RNA". It matches the Rfam family "Eukaryotic small subunit ribosomal RNA", at positions 583 to 890 of the family's 1831-position model. The record is from RNAcentral.